GACGAACGCUGGCGGCGUGCUUAACACAUGCAAGUCGAACGGACAGGCCCUGCUUUUGUUUGUUUCUCGUUUGGCGCACGGGGGUGUAACACGUGAGUAACCUCCCCUUGACUUUGUGAUAACUUUUGGGAACUGCGUCUCUUACCGGAUAUGAUCUCCUGCUGCAUGGUGUUGGUUGGUAAGUUUCGGCGGUUGUGGAUGGACUCGCUGCUUAUCAGCUUGUUUGUGUGGUAGUUGCUGACCAAGGGUUUGAAGGCUAGCCGGCCUGAGAGGGUUACCGGGGACAAGGGGACUGAGAUACGGACCAGAAUCGUACGGGAGGCAGCAGUGGAGAGUAUUGCAGAAUGGGCGGAAGCCUGAGACAGAAACGCCGCGAGCGGGAUAACGGGUUACGGGUGGUAAACAGAUGUGGAAUGUGACGAAGAGUGAGUGACGGUAAUGAGUAAGAAAGCAACGGCUAACUACGUG
This 468-nucleotide ribosomal RNA is filed under the name uncultured bacterium. RNAcentral describes it as "partial 16S ribosomal RNA". It matches the Rfam family "Bacterial small subunit ribosomal RNA", at positions 28 to 507 of the family's 1533-position model. The record is from RNAcentral.